RNAcentral lists this ribosomal RNA (501 nucleotides) under uncultured bacterium. RNAcentral describes it as "partial 16S ribosomal RNA". It matches the Rfam family "Bacterial small subunit ribosomal RNA", at positions 30 to 523 of the family's 1533-position model. The record is from RNAcentral.
AUUGAACGCUGGCGGCAGGCUUAACACAUGCAAGUCGAGCGGAGCGAGGGUGCUUGCACCUUAGCUUAGCGGCGGACGGGUGAGUAAUGCUUAGGAAUCUGCCUAUUAGUGGGGGACAACAUUCCGAAAGGAAUGCUAAUACCGCAUACGCCCUACGGGGGAAAGCAGGGGAUCUUCGGACCUUGCGCUAAUCGAUGAGCCUAAGUGGGAUUAGCUAGUUGGUGGGGUAAAGGCAUACCAGGGGGACGCUCUGUAGCGGGUCUGAGAGGAUGCACCGGCACACGGGGACUGAGACACGGCCCAGACUCCUACGGGAGGCAGCAGCGGGGAAUAUUGGACAAUGGGCGGAAGCCUGAUCCAGCCAUGCCGCGUGUGUGAAGAAGGCCUUUUGGUUGUAAAGCACUUUAAGCGAGGAGGAGGCUACUUAGAUUAAUACUCUGGGAUAGUGGACGUUACUCGCAGAAUAAGCACCGGCUAACUCUGUGCCAGCCGCCGCGGUAA